GUGCAGGAUAGUCUAGUCGGUGGUUGUAGGGUGUUUGACUUCCAGCCGAAAGGUUCUGGGUUCAAACCCCAAUGUCCACA
Molecule: non-coding RNA, 80 nt
Organism: Merluccius polli (Benguela hake)
Lineage: Eukaryota; Metazoa; Chordata; Actinopteri; Gadiformes; Merlucciidae
Source: the annotation of a GenBank genome assembly